GCGAGGGUGAAGACGGGAUUCGCGACGCAUCCGCCUUCGAUCCAUGUGGCUCCCAUUUCUGCGACACCGUCACCUAACCAGCAGGAAUGGAUUCGACCACCAGUAUUGUGAAAUUCUGCAAACCGCAUUGGACGAAACGAUGAGCUGCGGAAAGGCCGGCCAUUCCACCGCCGAUUAUAACUACCGUUGGUUCUGGUUUGCUCGGAUCCAACAUGCAAGGAUUUAAUUGACAGGAUUCGAAUUUCGACAAUUUUCCACAUCCUCGAAUCUCCGUCGUGGAUAAACAUUUCACGUCGUCUUUUUUUAGUGAAAAUAAUCUGUGAGGUAGGCUGAUUGAAUGAAUUUGAA
This 348-nucleotide unclassified non-coding RNA is filed under the name Athalia rosae (coleseed sawfly). Its description in RNAcentral is "misc RNA ENSAEAG00005008628.1". Lineage: Eukaryota; Metazoa; Arthropoda; Insecta; Hymenoptera; Athaliidae. The record is from RNAcentral.